UAUUCAGUUGCCACAGCUGAUACGUGGGUGGGAGACAGUAGGAUGUGCUCCAGCGAGUCAAGAAAAAGCAGGGACAUUGUCUUGAACACAAGUGUCACAGUAAUAUGUGUCAGUCUUGCCCUCCCUGCCUCGGACAAGCUGGAGAGAAGCAGUGAAUCUGCAGCCCAAAAAA
Passer domesticus (house sparrow) is the source of this 172-nucleotide long non-coding RNA. RefSeq lists it as uncharacterized. NCBI's taxonomy places the organism in Eukaryota, Metazoa, Chordata, Aves, Passeriformes, Passeridae. The record is from RefSeq and is a predicted model, not a curated record. The transcript has 3 exons.